RNAcentral lists this ribosomal RNA (253 nucleotides) under uncultured bacterium. Its description in RNAcentral is "partial 16S ribosomal RNA". It matches the Rfam family "Bacterial small subunit ribosomal RNA", at positions 524 to 776 of the family's 1533-position model. The record is from RNAcentral.
UACGUAGGGGGCAAGCGUUGUCCGGAUUCAUUGGGCGUAAAGAGCGUGUAGGCGGCCAGGUAGGUCGGUUGUGAAAACUGGAGGCUCAACCUUCAGAGGUCGACCGAAACCAUCUGGCUAGAGUCCGGGAGAGGAGAGUGGAAUUCCUGGUGUAGCGGUGAAAUGCGUAGAGAUGUGUAGGAACACCAGUGGCGAAGGCGACUCUUUGGUCUGUAACUGACGCUGAGGCGCGAAAGCGUGGGGAGCAAACAGG